RNAcentral lists this ribosomal RNA (440 nucleotides) under uncultured bacterium. RNAcentral's name for it is "partial 16S ribosomal RNA". It matches the Rfam family "Bacterial small subunit ribosomal RNA", at positions 338 to 795 of the family's 1533-position model. The record is from RNAcentral.
CCUACGGGCGGCUGCAGUAGGGAAUCUUCCUCAAUGGGGGAAACCCUGAAGCAGCAACGCCGCGUGGAGGAUGAAGGUUUUAGGAUUGUAAACUUCUUUUGUUAGAGAAGAUUAUGACGGUAUCUAACGAAUAAGCAUCUGCCAACUCCGUGCCAGCAGCUGCGGUCAUACGGAGGGUGCAAGCGUUACUCGGAAUCACUGGGCGUAAAGAGUGCGUAGGCGGGGGAAUAAGUCAGAUGUGAAAUCCUGUAGCUUAACUGCAGAAUUGCAUUUGAAACUGUUACUUUGGAGUGUGGGAGAGGUAGGUGGAAUUCUUGGUGUAGGGGUAGAAUCCGUAGAGAUCAAGAGGAAUACUCGUUGCGAAGGCGACCUGCUGGAAUAUUACUGACGCUGAUGCACGAAAGCGUGGGGAGCAAACAGGAUUAGAUACCCCAGUAGUC